This 73-nucleotide transfer RNA is filed under the name Chloroflexota bacterium. RNAcentral's name for it is "Chloroflexi bacterium (groundwater metagenome) tRNA-Arg". It matches the Rfam family "tRNA". From Rfam's summary of the family: Transfer RNA (tRNA) molecules are approximately 80 nucleotides in length. Their secondary structure includes four short double-helical elements and three loops (D, anti-codon, and T loops). Lineage: Bacteria; Bacillati; Chloroflexota. The record is from RNAcentral.
CCGCCUGUAGCUCAGCGGAUAGAGCACUGGGCUUCGGACCCAGGUGUCGGGGGUUCAAAUCCCUCCAGGCGGG